GGCUAACGCUGGCGGCGUGUCUUAGCCAUGCAAGUCGAGCGGACUUAUGGGGGUAACUUAUAAGUCAGCGGCGGACGGCGGAGUAACACGUAGCUAACCUACCCUCUGGACGGGGAUAACCUACCGAAAGGUGGGCUAAUACCCGAUGUAGUCAUCCUGUAUAGGGGUGAUGAAAGGUGGGCUUCUGUUUACAAGCUCAUGCUGGAGGAGGGGGCUGCGGCCUAUCAGGUAGUUGGUAGGGUAAUAGCCUACCAAGCCGAUGACGGGUAGCCGGCCUGAGAGGGUGACCGGCCCGAGGGGCACUGAGAUACGGGUCCCACUCCUACGGGAGGCAGCAGGCUAGAAAUUUGGGCAAUGGGGGAAACCCUGACCCAGUGACGCCGCGUGCAGGAAGGAGCCCUUCGGGAUGUAAACUGCUGUCGUGUAGGGAGAAGGGUACUAAGGUGAACAAUCUUAGUACUUGACGGUACUACAGGAGGAAGCCCAGGCUAACCUCGUGCCAGCAGCCGCGGUAAGCUACGUAGA
RNAcentral lists this ribosomal RNA (525 nucleotides) under uncultured bacterium. Its description in RNAcentral is "bacterial SSU rRNA". It matches the Rfam family "Bacterial small subunit ribosomal RNA", at positions 28 to 531 of the family's 1533-position model. The record is from RNAcentral.